This 273-nucleotide ribosomal RNA is filed under the name Arthrobacter sp. VA4. RNAcentral describes it as "partial 16S ribosomal RNA". It matches the Rfam family "Bacterial small subunit ribosomal RNA", at positions 38 to 297 of the family's 1533-position model. Lineage: Bacteria; Bacillati; Actinomycetota; Actinomycetes; Micrococcales; Micrococcaceae. The record is from RNAcentral.
GUGUGGAAAGUUGGGCGGCGUGCUUACACAUGCAGUCGAACGAUGAUCCGGUGCUUGCGCCGGGGAUUCUUUGGCGAACGGGUGAGUAACACGUGAGUAACCUGCCCUUGACUCUGGGAUAAGCCUGGGAAACUGGGUCUAAUACCGGAUAUGACUCCUCAUCGCAUGGUGGGGGGUGGAAAGCUUUUUGUGGUUUUGGAUGGACUCCCGGCCUUUCAGCUUGUUGGUGGGGUAAUGGCCUACCAAGGCGACAACCGGGUAGCCGGCCUGAUG